CAUCAUUGUCUCACUCUUCACCUUAUCUUCCCUUCAAUCAUCCUCUUAUUUCUCUCAUCUUCUUCCUCUUUUCUUUUCUUUGGUUUUUUUUUUUGGUUUUGACCGAGAGCAACAACAAGAACAACAAUGGUCUGGAUUUUUUUACUUAAAUUACAGUAGUACGGGUCUCCUCCGGCCUCAAGAGGGUUAAGGAAAGCCAGGAGAACGGAAAGCCAGUGGUCCAAGCAGAAAAGAUUUUUUUUUUUUAAAAGAGAGAGGGUGCAAGGCUAUGAUUUCCCUUUGAAAGUGUGAGACCAUUAUAAAUCAUAGCAUCAGUGGUGCAGAAGAAAUCAGAGUAUCAAGAGGCUCCUCUGGCCUCAAGAUCCUUAAGGUUUCGUCUGGGCAUGACAAGUUUCAUGAGAUCUAUGUUCUCGAUGGAGAGGUGAAUGGCAUAUGAUUCAAGUUCAAGAUUCCAGUUCGUGGUCCAAAGAGCACGAUUAGUUGCCGUUGAAGCAGCUAUUGGAAGCUCUAUUGCCUUGCAGUAAUUUUUCGAAUCAUUUCUAGAUUUCGAUCUGGGAAGUGACAGACCAUUGAUUUACUUGCAUAAGCCUCUUAAUUUUUUCUCAAUUGUUGGUUUUGGCUUUAAUUUCAAAAUUCUUUGUUUUGACAGACCAUCGAUUUCCUAUUCAGGAUUAUGGUAUGGUGGUGCUUUUUCUCUGUUUUCGUGUAUGUUGUCUUCUCUGCAGUUCUCUUCCACUUCAGCAUCAGUUUUACU
Non-coding RNA from Coffea arabica (coffee), 754 nucleotides. The record is from RefSeq and is a predicted model, not a curated record. NCBI's taxonomy places the organism in Eukaryota, Viridiplantae, Streptophyta, Magnoliopsida, Gentianales, Rubiaceae.